UUAAAUGAGGACUAGUAUGAAUGGCCCCACGAGGGCUGCACUGUCUCCUUUUUCYAAUCAAUGAAACUAAUCUCCCCGUGAAGAAGCGGGGAUAACCNUAUAAGACGAGAAGACCCUAUGGAGCUUAAAACAACUGAAACAUUUGCUUUUACCUUAACUGCCCCCGAGCUCUUUAUUUUACCUAAGCAUUUUUGUUUCUAGUUUUAGGUUGGGGUGACCACGGAGCAAAACUAAACCUCCACGAAGAAAUGAAUACUUUUUAAGCCACAAACUACUUUUUUAAGCAUCAACAAAUUGACCUUCAUUGACCCAAUAUAUUGAUCAACGAACCAAGUUACCCUAGGGAUAACAGCGCAAUCUACUUCAAGAGCUCAUAUCGACAAGUAGGUUUACGACCUCGAUGUUGGAUCAGGGG
RNAcentral lists this ribosomal RNA (415 nucleotides) under Ameerega hahneli. RNAcentral's name for it is "partial 16S ribosomal RNA". It matches the Rfam family "Bacterial large subunit ribosomal RNA", at positions 1976 to 2543 of the family's 2925-position model. The record is from RNAcentral. Lineage: Eukaryota; Metazoa; Chordata; Amphibia; Anura; Dendrobatidae.